AUACGUAGGGUGCGAGCGGUGUCCGGAAUUACUGGGAGUAAAGAGCUCGUAGGUGGUUUGUCGCGUCGUCUGGGAAAUUCCGGGGCUUAACUCCGGGCGUGCAGGCGAUACGGGCAUAACUUGAGUACUGUAGGGGAGACUGGAAUUCCUGGGGUAGCGGUGAAAUGCGCAGAUAUCAGGAGGAACACCGGUGGCGAAGGCGGGUCUCUGGGCAGUAACUGACGCUGAGGAGCGAAAGCAUGGGUAGCGAACAGGAUUAGAUACCCUGGUAGUCCAUGCCGUAAACGGUGGGCGCUAGGUGUAGGGGUCUUCCACGACUUCUGUGCCGUAGCUACCGCAUUAAGCGCCCCGCCUGGGGAGUACGGCCGCAAGGCUAAAACUCAAAGGAAUUGACGGGG
RNAcentral lists this ribosomal RNA (398 nucleotides) under uncultured bacterium. RNAcentral's name for it is "partial 16S ribosomal RNA". It matches the Rfam family "Bacterial small subunit ribosomal RNA", at positions 523 to 918 of the family's 1533-position model. The record is from RNAcentral.